GGUUGUGGCUCAGUGGUAGAGUGCUUGCCUAGCAUGCACAAGGCACUGGGUUCGAUCCCCGGCACCA
RNAcentral lists this transfer RNA (67 nucleotides) under Marmota monax (woodchuck). RNAcentral describes it as "tRNA.Ala". It matches the Rfam family "tRNA". From Rfam's summary of the family: Transfer RNA (tRNA) molecules are approximately 80 nucleotides in length. Lineage: Eukaryota; Metazoa; Chordata; Mammalia; Rodentia; Sciuridae. The record is from RNAcentral.